This 497-nucleotide ribosomal RNA is filed under the name uncultured bacterium. Its description in RNAcentral is "partial 16S ribosomal RNA". It matches the Rfam family "Bacterial small subunit ribosomal RNA", at positions 28 to 507 of the family's 1533-position model. The record is from RNAcentral.
GAUGAACGCUGGCGGCGUGCCUAAUACAUGCAAGUCGAGCGAACGGACGAGAAGCUUGCUUCUCUGAUGUUAGCGGCGGACGGGUGAGUAACACGUGGAUAACCUACCUAUAAGACUGGGAGAACUUCGGGAAACCGUAGCCAAUACCGGAUAAUAUUUUGAACCGCAUGGUUCAAAAGUGAAAGACGCUUUUGCUGUCACUUAUAGAUGGAUCCGCGCUGCAUUAGCUAGUUGGUAAGGUAACGGCUUACCAAGGCAACGAUGCGUAGCCGACCUGAGAGGGUGAUCGGCCACACUGGAACUGAGACACGGUCCAGACUCCUACGGGAGGCAGCAGUAGGGAAUCUUCCGCAAUGGGCGAAAGCCUGACGGAGCAACGCCGCGUGAGUGAUGAAGGUCUUCGGAUCGUAAAACUCUGUUAUUAGGGAAGAACAUAUGUGUAAGUAACUGUGCACGUCUUGACGGUACCUAAUCAGAAAGCCACGGCUAACUACGUG